CAGCCGCCGCGGUAAUACGAAGGGGGCAAGCGUUGUUCGGAAUUAUUCGGCGUAAAGGGUGCGUAGGCGGUUUGACAAGUCUUGUGUGAAAUCUCUGGGCUCAACCCGGAGUCUGCACGGGAAACUGUCGGGCUAGAGGAUGGGAGAGGUGAGUGGAAUUUCCGGUGUAGCGGUGAAAUGCGUAGAUAUCGGAAGGAACACCUGUGGCGAAAGCGGCUCACUGGACCAUUUCUGACGCUGAUGCACGAAAGCUAGGGGAGCAAACAGGAUUAGAUACCCCAGUAGUCCCUGUCUCUUAUAC
This 301-nucleotide ribosomal RNA is filed under the name uncultured bacterium. RNAcentral describes it as "partial 16S ribosomal RNA". It matches the Rfam family "Bacterial small subunit ribosomal RNA", at positions 509 to 807 of the family's 1533-position model. The record is from RNAcentral.